UCCUCCUCCGCAGCAAAGCGCAGAAGCUCUGACGAGAAUGCGACGGCGGAGGAGCAGAGGAGGGGUGGAGCGGUGGUUGUGGAGCUCUUAUCAUCGCCUCAGCCGGAGCUGCUCUUCCACCUAGAAGUGUCGCCGUCGGAGUCGGCGGGGGAGCGGCCGGAAGUUUGGAGGGAAUCAUACCAUUACCAACGGUACAGUAUGAUUCAUCAUACCAACGAUUCGAUUAUUUACUUGAGGUGUGUAAGCAAGAGAGAUUGCUACUUCACAAAGAGGAACAGGAGGAUAACCAAGAAAAGAAAGGGUGC
Long non-coding RNA from Ipomoea nil (Japanese morning glory), 305 nucleotides. RefSeq lists it as uncharacterized. The transcript has 3 exons. NCBI's taxonomy places the organism in Eukaryota, Viridiplantae, Streptophyta, Magnoliopsida, Solanales, Convolvulaceae. The record is from RefSeq and is a predicted model, not a curated record.